Molecule: ribosomal RNA, 342 nt
Filed under: Triticum aestivum (bread wheat)
Lineage: Eukaryota; Viridiplantae; Streptophyta; Magnoliopsida; Poales; Poaceae
Description: partial small subunit ribosomal RNA
Source: RNAcentral
GUCACCACUCAAGUAGAACAAGUACUUAAGACUCAAAAUGAUUUGCUCAAUGAAUUAAAUAGUAAGAAUAAUGAUUAUCCUGUUAGAGUGGCUACUAGAACCGGUAAAAUGACUCAGGAACCUUUGUAUCCUAAAGGCCACCCUAAGAGAAUUGAGCAAGAUUCUCAGAGAAAUAAUUUAGAUGCACCUAGUCCUUCUAAAAAGAAGAAAAAGAAAAAUGAUAGGACUUUGCAUGCUUCUAGUGAACGUAUUGCUGAAUUACCUGAGAAUCCAAAUGAUAUUUCUAUUUCUGAUGCUGAAACACAAUCUGGUAACGAACAUGAACCUAGUGAUAAUGUUAAU